UAUUUUUUAUUUUUUUUACCCUUUCAUAAAAACUCACUUUUCCAAAUUUCUAAUCAACUUUUCACUUUACUCUCCCCAACUUUAGAAUCCAAAACCAAAUUUAUUCAAUAGUGCUCCCUACUUAGACAUAAGCAAAAGGCAAAAUUUUUGCAAACAACUCGGUUUGAGGUUUCAACUGAUACGAAAGAAAUUAUGAUUCAUUUAUUCCACAAUUUUCA
This 218-nucleotide long non-coding RNA is filed under the name Lathyrus oleraceus (garden pea). RNAcentral's name for it is "Pisum sativum (pea) long non-coding RNA (PSAT_LNC024094)". Lineage: Eukaryota; Viridiplantae; Streptophyta; Magnoliopsida; Fabales; Fabaceae. The record is from RNAcentral.